UACGUAGGGGGCAAGCGUUGUCCGGAAUCAUUGGGCGUAAAGAGCGUGUAGGCGGCCCGGUAAGUCUGUUGUGAAAGUCCAGGGCUCAACCCUGGAAUGCCGAUGGAUACUGCCGGGCUAGAGUUCGGAAGAGGCGAGUGGAAUUCCUGGUGUAGCGGUGGAAUGCGCAGAUAUCAGGAGGAACACCUAUAGCGAGGGCAGCUCGCUGGGACGACACUGACGCUGAGACGCGAAAGCGUGGGGAGCGAACAGG
Molecule: ribosomal RNA, 253 nt
Filed under: uncultured bacterium
Lineage: Bacteria
Description: partial 16S ribosomal RNA
Rfam family: Bacterial small subunit ribosomal RNA
Source: RNAcentral